This 558-nucleotide ribosomal RNA is filed under the name uncultured bacterium. Its description in RNAcentral is "partial 16S ribosomal RNA". It matches the Rfam family "Bacterial small subunit ribosomal RNA", at positions 355 to 932 of the family's 1533-position model. The record is from RNAcentral.
UGGGGAAUAUUGCACAAUGGGCGAAAGCCUGAUGCAGCGACGCCGCGUGAGGGAUGACGGCCUUCGGGUUGUAAACCUCUUUCAGCAGGGAAGAAGCGAAAGUGACGGUACCUGCAGAAGAAGCGCCGGCUAACUACGUGCCAGCAGCCGCGGUAAUACGUAGGGCGCAAGCGUUGUCCGGAAUUAUUGGGCGUAAAGAGCUCGUAGGCGGUUAGUCGCGUCUGCUGUGAAAACUCGAGGCUCAACCUCGGGCUUGCAGUGGGUACGGGCUGACUAGAGUGCGGUAGGGGUGACUGGAAUUCCUGGUGUAGCGGUGGAAUGCGCAGAUAUCAGGAGGAACACCGAUGGGCGAAGGCAGGUCACUGGGCCGCAACUGACGCUGGGGAGCGAAGCAUGGGGAGCGACAGGAUUAGAUACCCUGGUAGUCCAUGCCGUAAACGUUGGGCACUAGGUGUGGGGUCCAUUCCACGGAUUCGUGCCGCAGCAAACGCUUAAGUGCCCCGCCUGGGGAGUACGGCCGCAAGGCUAAACUCAAAUGAAUUGACGGGGUCAUAGCUG